This 105-nucleotide ribosomal RNA is filed under the name Acanthosepion pharaonis. Lineage: Eukaryota; Metazoa; Mollusca; Cephalopoda; Sepiida; Sepiidae. The record is from RNAcentral.
AUAUCACAUAGAAACACCGGUUCUCGUACUAUCAGCGAAGUUAAGCAACGUCGAGGCUGGUCAGUAUCGGGAUAGCUGACCUUUUGGGAAUAUCAGUUGCUGUAA